Molecule: unclassified non-coding RNA, 328 nt
Filed under: soil metagenome
Description: partial contains 5.8S ribosomal RNA, internal transcribed spacer 2, and large subunit ribosomal RNA
Rfam family: 5.8S ribosomal RNA (bases 1-120)
Source: RNAcentral
GAUGAAGAACGUAGCGAAAUGCGAUAAGUAAUGUGAAUUGCAGAAUUCAGUGAAUCAUCGAAUCUUUGAACGCACAUUGCGCCCCUUGGUAUUCCGAGGGGCAUGCCUGUUCGAGCGACAUUAUAACCCCUCAAGCUCAGCUUGGUGUUGGGGCCUGCUGCACUGGCAGCCCUUAAAAUCAGUGGCGGCGCCAUCUGGCUCUAAGCGUAGUAAUUCUUCUCGCUAUGGAGUCCUGGUGGAUGCUUGCCAUCAACCCCCAAUUUUUCUAUGGUUGACCUCGGAUCAGGUAGGGAUACCCGCUGAACUUAAGCAUAUCAAUAAGCGGGGA